AGCGUACUCAUGUCAGGCAGUGAAGGAUGGUGGCGCUCCUCUGCAACAGCAGCGAAACGGAACAAUAAAUAAAACAAAACAAAAUCACAACCGAAAGACAAAGAGGCGAAAUCAACCGAGGAAAGAAGAAAGAAAGGAAAGACACCCAGGGGUGACGGGGUGGGUGAGGAGGGUCCGGAGACGCGGAGCUGGAGGAACACACAGAGAAAGAGACGUUUUUUCCUGCUCGUUCUCUCGGUGAAGAUGCUGCAGUCUUGCGUUCAGAGCAUCCCUUCUCUGACUGGCUGCUGGAGGGAGCGCAGGGGAGCGGCUGACGUCACAGGGCCUCGCGGUGCCUUCAUGGGCUUCCCGUAAACUCGGAUUUUCAAUACUCUUAAGUAAAAGUGCAAUUUUCGGUGUGUUUUAGUGCCUUUUGUCCAAAAUAAAGUCAAGAAUUGUUA
Molecule: long non-coding RNA, 440 nt
Organism: Seriola aureovittata
Lineage: Eukaryota; Metazoa; Chordata; Actinopteri; Carangiformes; Carangidae
Exons: 2
Source: RefSeq, a predicted model, not a curated record